GACGAACGCUGGCGGCGUGCUUAACACAUGCAAGUCGUACGGUAAGGCCCUUUCUGGGGUACACGCGUGGCGAACGGGCGAGUAACACGUGCGUAACCUGCCCACAACUUUGGGAGAACGCUCGUAAACUGGCGCUAAUACUUGCUAUGUACUCCUUCUUCAUGGUGGGGGGUGGAAAGCUCCCGGGGUUGUGGCUGGACUCGCGGCCUAUCAGCCUGUUGGUUGGGGAGUGGGCUACCUAGGCGGCGGCGGGGGGGCGGCCUGGGGGGGGGGCCGGCCACAUUGGGGCCUGGGACCGGCCCCGGCUCCCACGGGGGGCAGCAGGGGGGAAUAUUGCAAAAUGGGCGCGAGCCUGAUGCAACAACGCCGCGUGCCGGAUGACGGCCUUCGGGUUGUAAACCGCUUUCAGCAGGGGCGGAGCUUUUUGUGACGGUACCUGCAGAAGAAGCACCGGCUAACUACGUG
RNAcentral lists this ribosomal RNA (465 nucleotides) under uncultured bacterium. RNAcentral describes it as "partial 16S ribosomal RNA". It matches the Rfam family "Bacterial small subunit ribosomal RNA", at positions 28 to 507 of the family's 1533-position model. The record is from RNAcentral.